Acanthochromis polyacanthus (spiny chromis) is the source of this 323-nucleotide long non-coding RNA. RefSeq lists it as uncharacterized. The record is from RefSeq and is a predicted model, not a curated record. The transcript has 4 exons. Lineage: Eukaryota; Metazoa; Chordata; Actinopteri; Pomacentridae.
CUAACACAGAAAGCACAGAGCGGUUACAGGGGAGUGCUUUCGCUAUGAGUGAAUAUUGUCACUUUGUACCAUUUAUCAGUAAAUGACAGUGGAACUGACUAAUGUUACAGCUCUACUAGCACAAGAAGAGGACCGCUCUCAGCAUGAUUCAUUCCCAGCACUGUAACUACACCGAAUAAGCUAAAUGUAUGGUGUGUAGCGGUGUCCUGAAUGAGGCAGAGUUGAUGCAGAUUAGCCUUUGGUGCUGCAGAUGAAGGCCAGAAGGACAUGCUGUGCGAGAGGAGAGGGUGAGGACGAGGGAGGCGCUAACCCUGGACACAUGG